UCGAGUUUGAUCAUGGCUCAGAUUGAACGCUGGCGGCAGGCCUAACACAUGCAAGUCGAGCGGCAGCACGAGAAAGCUUGCUUUCUUGGUGGCGAGCGGCGGACGGGUGAGUAAUACAUGGGAAUCUGCCCGAUAGUGGGGGACAACGUUUCGAAAGGAACGCUAAUACCGCAUACGUCCUACGGGAGAAAGCAGGCUUAGGCUUGCGCUAUCGGAUGAGCCCAUGUCGGAUUAGCUUGUUGGUGAGGUAAUGGCUCACCAAGGCGACGAUCCGUAACUGGUCUGAGAGGAUGAUCAGUCACACCGGAACUGAGACACGGUCCGGACUCCUACGGGAGGCAGCAGUGGGGAAUAUUGGACAAUGGGGGCAACCCUGAUCCAGCCAUGCCGCGUGUGUGAAGAAGGCCUUCGGGUUGUAAAGCACUUUCAGCGAGGAGGAAAGCAGUAAGGUUAAUACCCUUAUUGUGUGACGUACUCGCAGAAGAGACCG
Molecule: ribosomal RNA, 490 nt
Filed under: Oceanospirillaceae bacterium M1-C4
Lineage: Bacteria; Pseudomonadati; Pseudomonadota; Gammaproteobacteria; Oceanospirillales; Oceanospirillaceae
Description: bacterial SSU rRNA
Rfam family: Bacterial small subunit ribosomal RNA
Source: RNAcentral